RNAcentral lists this ribosomal RNA (468 nucleotides) under uncultured bacterium. RNAcentral's name for it is "bacterial SSU rRNA". It matches the Rfam family "Bacterial small subunit ribosomal RNA", at positions 335 to 815 of the family's 1533-position model. The record is from RNAcentral.
ACUCCUACGGGAGGCAGCAGUGGGGAAUCUUGCACAAUGGGCGAAAGCCUGAUGCAGCGACGCCGCGUGCGGGAUGACGGCCUUCGGGUUGUAAACCGCUUUCAGCAGGGACGAAGCGGAAGCGACGGUACCUGCAGAAGAAGCCCCGGCCAACUACGUGCCAGCAGCCGCGGUAAUACGUAGGGGGCGAGCGUUGUCCGGAUUUAUUGGGCGUAAAGAGCUCGCAGGUGGCUGUUCAAGUCGGGUGUGAAAUCCCAAGGCUCAACCUUGGGUCUGCAUUCGAUACUGGGUGGCUUGAGUCUGGUAGGGGGACCUGGAAUUCCUGGUGUAGCGGUGGAAUGCGCAGAUAUCAGGAGGAACACCGGUGGCGAAGGCGGGGUCCUGGGCCAGUACUGACGCUGAGGAGCGAAAGCGUGGGGAGCAAACAGGAUUAGAUACCCUGGUAGUCCACGCUGUAAACGAUGGGUG